AAUUGAUGAAUUUCUAAAUGUUGACCUCGGAUCAGGUAGGAUUACCCGCUGAACUUAA
Molecule: ribosomal RNA, 58 nt
Filed under: Sclerococcum ahtii
Lineage: Eukaryota; Fungi; Ascomycota; Eurotiomycetes; Sclerococcales; Dactylosporaceae
Description: partial 28S ribosomal RNA
Source: RNAcentral